CCUACGGGUGGCAGCAGUGAGGAAUAUUGGUCAAUGGACGAGAGUCUGAACCAGCCAAGUAGCGUGAAGGAUGACUGCCCUAUGGGUUGUAAACUUCUUUUAUAUGGGAAUAAAAUGUUUCACGUGUGGGAUUUUGUAUGUACCAUAUGAAUAAGGAUCGGCUAACUCCGUGCCAGCAGCCGCGGUAAUACGGAGGAUCCGAGCGUUAUCCGGAUUUAUUGGGUUAAAAGGGUGCGUAGGUGGAUUGUUAAGUCAGUUGUGAAAGUUUGCGGCUCAACCGUAAAAUUGCAGUUGAAACUGGCAGUCUUGAGUACAGUAGAGGUGAGCGGAAUUCGUUGUGUAGCGGUGAAAUGCUUAGAUAUCACGAAGAACUCCGAUUGCGAAGGCAGUUCACUGGACUGCAACUGACACUGAGGCUCGAAAGUGUGGGUAUCAAACAGGAUUAGAUACCCUGGUAGUC
This 460-nucleotide ribosomal RNA is filed under the name uncultured bacterium. Its description in RNAcentral is "partial 16S ribosomal RNA". It matches the Rfam family "Bacterial small subunit ribosomal RNA", at positions 338 to 795 of the family's 1533-position model. The record is from RNAcentral.